AGGGAGGCAAAACCGCGAGGUGGAGCAAAUCCCUAAAAGCCAUCCCAGUUCGGAUCGCAGGCUGCAACCCGCCUGCGUGAAGUUGGAAUCGCUAGUAAUCGCGGAUCAGCAUGCCGCGGUGAAUACGUUCCCGGGCCUUGUACACACCGCCCGUCACACCAUGAGAGUCGGGAACACCCGAAGUCCGUAGCCUAACCGCAAGGGGGGCGCGGCCGAAGGUGGGUUCGAUAAUUGGGGUGAAGUCGUAACAAGGUAGC
Molecule: ribosomal RNA, 257 nt
Filed under: uncultured bacterium
Lineage: Bacteria
Description: partial 16S ribosomal RNA
Rfam family: Bacterial small subunit ribosomal RNA
Source: RNAcentral